GGGGGUUACUACCGAUGCCAAGAUGGCGGACGAGUGUUUUCAGAACUGGUCGGUACAGAAGCUGAAGACUGAAUUGAGGAAACGGAGUGCUACUACCCAUGGCAGAAAAAGUGAUUUAGUUGAGAGAUUAAAGGCCUAUGAAAGAAAUAGGAACUUCAAACAAUCUGCUGUUUACCUGCCCGAUGCCAUUUGUGUGUUUGGCCAGUUGUUGGAUUUCAGCAAUUGAUACCAGAUCACAAGAUUAUCCUUCCCAAAUUGACUUGGCUGCAGAUAGAGGAGUACUUCUUGUACAGAUUGGCAGAUUACUGAAGAAGGUGCUCGGGAGUUGGAGACCCAAACCAAAUUCCAAGUGAAAAGUAAA
This is a long non-coding RNA of Mizuhopecten yessoensis (Yesso scallop), 361 nucleotides long. RefSeq lists it as uncharacterized. The transcript is spliced from 3 exons. NCBI's taxonomy places the organism in Eukaryota, Metazoa, Mollusca, Bivalvia, Pectinida, Pectinidae. The record is from RefSeq and is a predicted model, not a curated record.